AUGUCGUCUAUUGAGGGCCAACGACGGUCAGGCCGGGCAGCAGCGGCGAUCAGUCUGGUCUGUAAGACGCAGCCAUCACCGAUUGAGGGCCUUGGAUUUUAUAUGUAUUCCUUAAUUAUAUGCGGCAGGAGCGGCAACCCAGAUAGAUUCGUCUCUUCUGUGUUAUCUUUGGUUUGCAAGGCGCGUGGCAACGUUAGCAACCUGAGGGAGAUGGGAAAAGACGACCCUGAUGUUGCAUGUGCACGCCUGAACCAUGUCCAACCAAAGCAGGGAGCAGAGAAGAGCAAUAUGUGGUGGUCUGCGUCGCCUUUAGUUGGGACCUGUACCUGUAGGAAUAAUUAUGUUUCCAUGGUUGAGAAAAGGUAUGAUGCACGGACUUCUAAUAUUUGUAUGUAA
RNAcentral lists this ribosomal RNA (396 nucleotides) under Triticum aestivum (bread wheat). RNAcentral's name for it is "partial small subunit ribosomal RNA". Lineage: Eukaryota; Viridiplantae; Streptophyta; Magnoliopsida; Poales; Poaceae. The record is from RNAcentral.